UACGGAGGGUGCAAGCGUUAUCCGGAUUUACUGGGUUUAAAGGGUGCGUAGGUGGGCCUGUAAGUCAGUGGUGAAAUCUUCAAGCUUAACUUGGAAACUUCCAUUGAUACUAUAGGUCUUGAAUUAUCUGGAGGUAAGCGGAAUAUGUCAUGUAGCGGUGAAAUGCUUAGAGAUGACAUAGAACACCCAUUGCGAAGGCAGCUUACUACGGAUUGAUUGACACUGAGGCACGAAAGCGUGGGGAUCAAACAGG
This 253-nucleotide ribosomal RNA is filed under the name uncultured bacterium. RNAcentral's name for it is "partial 16S ribosomal RNA". It matches the Rfam family "Bacterial small subunit ribosomal RNA", at positions 524 to 776 of the family's 1533-position model. The record is from RNAcentral.